Molecule: ribosomal RNA, 561 nt
Filed under: Oemopteryx vanduzeea
Lineage: Eukaryota; Metazoa; Arthropoda; Insecta; Plecoptera; Taeniopterygidae
Description: partial 16S ribosomal RNA
Rfam family: Bacterial large subunit ribosomal RNA
Source: RNAcentral
UCGCCUGUUUUCAAAAACAUGUCUUCUUGAUAAUAAUUUGAAGUCUGACCUGCCCACUGAAUUUUACAUUUAAAGGGCCGCGGUAUUUUGACCGUGCAAAGGUAGCAUAAUCAUUAGUCUUUUAAUUGGAGGCUAGAAUGAAUGGUUGGACGAGGUAUUGACUGUCUCAGUGUAAAUGAGAGUAGAAUUUAACUUUUAAGUCAAAAGGCUUAAAUAAUUUUAAAGGACGAGAAGACCCUAUAGAGCUUUAUAUUAAUACAUUUAUUAUUUAUUUAGUAGAUUUUUUAUAAUAAUUGUAAAAAUAUUUUGUUGGGGUGACGGGAAGAUAUAUAAAACUCUUUUUAGUUUAAUUACAUUGAUUUAUGAAUUGUUGAUCCAUUUUUAGUGAUUAUAAGACUAAGUUACCUUAGGGAUAACAGCGUAAUCUUUUUCGAGAGUUCUUAUCGACAAAAAGGGUUGCGACCUCGAUGUUGGAUUAAGGGUAAUUUUGGGUGUAGAUGUUCAAAGUUUAGGUCUGUUCGACCUUUAAAUCCUUACAUGAUCUGAGUUCAAAACCGGAGA